Molecule: transfer RNA, 59 nt
Filed under: Rattus norvegicus (Norway rat)
Lineage: Eukaryota; Metazoa; Chordata; Mammalia; Rodentia; Muridae
Rfam family: tRNA
About the family: Transfer RNA (tRNA) molecules are approximately 80 nucleotides in length. Their secondary structure includes four short double-helical elements and three loops (D, anti-codon, and T loops).
Source: Rfam by way of RNAcentral
UGGCUCAGUGGUUAAGAGCACUGGACUGAUCUUCCAGAGGUCCUGAGUUCAAUUCCCAG